Molecule: ribosomal RNA, 619 nt
Filed under: Lactobacillus gasseri
Lineage: Bacteria; Bacillati; Bacillota; Bacilli; Lactobacillales; Lactobacillaceae
Description: bacterial SSU rRNA
Rfam family: Bacterial small subunit ribosomal RNA
Source: RNAcentral
AUGGACGCAAGUCUGAUGGAGCAACGCCGCGUGAGUGAAGAAGGGUUUCGGCUCGUAAAGCUCUGUUGGUAGUGAAGAAAGAUAGAGGUAGUAACUGGCCUUUAUUUGACGGUAAUUACUUAGAAAGUCACGGCUAACUACGCGCCAGCAGCCGCGGUAAUACGUAGGUGGCAAGCGUUGUCCGGAUUUAUUGGGCGUAAAGCGAGUGCAGGCGGUUCAAUAAGUCUGAUGUGAAAGCCUUCGGCUCAACCGGAGAAUUGCAUCAGAAACUGUUGAACUUGAGUGCAGAAGAGGAGAGUGGAACUCCAUGUGUAGCGGUGGAAUGCGUAGAUAUAUGGAAGAACACCAGUGGCGAAGGCGGCUCUCUGGUCUGCAACUGACGCUGAGGCUCGAAAGCAUGGGUAGCGAACAGGAUUAGAUACCCUGGUAGUCCAUGCCGUAAGCGACGAGUGCUAAGUGUUGGGAGGUUUCCGCCUCUCAGUGCUGCAGCUAACGCAUUAAGCACUCCGCCUGGGGAGUACGACCGCAAGGUUGAAACUCAAAGGAAUUGACGGGGGCCCGCACAAGCGGUGGAGCAUGUGGUUUAAUUCGAAGCAACGCGAAGAACCUUACCAGGUCU